UCCCUGGAGAUCCAGUGGUUAGGACUCUGCUAUUUCACUGCUGAAGGCCCAGGUUUGAUCCCUGGCUGGGGAA
Molecule: transfer RNA, 73 nt
Filed under: Bos taurus (domestic cattle)
Lineage: Eukaryota; Metazoa; Chordata; Mammalia; Artiodactyla; Bovidae
Also listed under: 5 other names
Rfam family: tRNA
About the family: Transfer RNA (tRNA) molecules are approximately 80 nucleotides in length. Their secondary structure includes four short double-helical elements and three loops (D, anti-codon, and T loops).
Source: Rfam by way of RNAcentral